RNAcentral lists this ribosomal RNA (571 nucleotides) under uncultured bacterium. RNAcentral's name for it is "partial 16S ribosomal RNA". It matches the Rfam family "Bacterial small subunit ribosomal RNA", at positions 355 to 919 of the family's 1533-position model. The record is from RNAcentral.
UGGGGAAUUUUGGACAAUGGGGGAAACCCUGAUCCAGCCAUCCCGCGUGUGCGAUGAAGGCCUUCGGGUUGUAAAGCACUUUUGGCAGGAAAGAAACGUCGCGGGUUAAUACCCCGCGAAACUGACGGUACCUGCAGAAUAAGCACCGGCUAACUACGUGCCAGCAGCCGCGGUAAUACGUAGGGUGCAAGCGUUAAUCGGAAUUACUGGGCGUAAAGCGUGCGCAGGCGGUUCGGAAAGAAAGAUGUGAAAUCCCAGAGCUUAACUUUGGAACUGCAUUUUUAACUACCGGGCUAGAGUGUGUCAGAGGGAGGUGGAAUUCCGCGUGUAGCAGUGAAAUGCGUAGAUAUGCGGAGGAACACCGAUGGCGAAGGCAGCCUCCUGGGAUAACACUGACGCUCAUGCACGAAAGCGUGGGGAGCAAACAGGAUUAGAUACCCUGGUAGUCCACGCCCUAAACGAUGUCAACUAGCUGUUGGGGCCUUCGGGCCUUGGUAGCGCAGCUAACGCGUGAAGUUGACCGCCUGGGGAGUACGGUCGCAAGAUUAAAACUCAAAUGAAUUGACGGGGU